Molecule: ribosomal RNA, 487 nt
Filed under: Streptococcus mutans
Lineage: Bacteria; Bacillati; Bacillota; Bacilli; Lactobacillales; Streptococcaceae
Description: bacterial SSU rRNA
Rfam family: Bacterial small subunit ribosomal RNA
Source: RNAcentral
GACGAACGCUGGCGGCGUGCCUAAUACAUGCAAGUGGGACGCAAGGGAACACACUGUGCUUGCACACCGUGUUUUCUUGAGUCGCGAACGGGUGAGUAACGCGUAGGUAACCUGCCUAUUAGCGGGGGAUAACUAUUGGAAACGAUAGCUAAUACCGCAUAAUAUUAAUUAUUGCAUGAUAAUUGAUUGAAAGAUGCAAGCGCAUCACUAGUAGAUGGACCUGCGUUGUAUUAGCUAGUUGGUAAGGUAAGAGCUUACCAAGGCGACGAUACAUAGCCGACCUGAGAGGGUGAUCGGCCACACUGGGACUGAGACACGGCCCAGACUCCUACGGGAGGCAGCAGUAGGGAAUCUUCGGCAAUGGACGAAAGUCUGACCGAGCAACGCCGCGUGAGUGAAGAAGGUUUUCGGAUCGUAAAGCUCUGUUGUAAGUCAAGAACGUGUGUGAGAGUGGAAAGUUCACACAGUGACGGAGCUACCAGAAAGG